UUCGAUUCUGGCUCAGGAUGAACGUGGCGGCGUGCCUAAUACAUGCAAGCCGAACGAGGGUAGUAAUACCCUAGUGGCGAACGGGUGAGUAACACGUAGGUAACCUGCCUUUAGCUUGGGAUACCCGAAGGAAAUUUUGGCUAAUACCGGAUAAUAACAACCGAGGCAUCUCGGAUGUUUGAAAGGAGCUCUAAAGCUUCACUAAAAGAUGGACCUGCGGCGCAUUAGCUAGUUGGUGAGAUAACAGCCCACCAAGGCGAGGAUGCGUAGCCGAACUGAGAGGUUGAACGGCCACAUUGGAACUGAGACACGGUCCAAACUCCUACGGGAGGCAGCAGUAAGGAGUUUUCGGCAAUGGGGGAAACCCUGACCGAGCAACGCCGCGUGAGUGAUGACGGCCCUAUGGGUUGUAAAGCUCUGUUAUAAGGGACGAACAGCUUUGCUAGGAAAUGAGCAGAGUCUGACGGUACUUUAUCAGAAAGCCACGGCUAACUACGUGCCAGCCGCCGC
This 510-nucleotide ribosomal RNA is filed under the name uncultured bacterium. RNAcentral describes it as "bacterial SSU rRNA". It matches the Rfam family "Bacterial small subunit ribosomal RNA", at positions 12 to 518 of the family's 1533-position model. The record is from RNAcentral.